Molecule: ribosomal RNA, 211 nt
Filed under: uncultured Streptococcus sp.
Lineage: Bacteria; Bacillati; Bacillota; Bacilli; Lactobacillales; Streptococcaceae
Description: partial 16S ribosomal RNA
Rfam family: Bacterial small subunit ribosomal RNA
Source: RNAcentral
CGGGGGAUAACUAUUGGAAACGAUAGCUAAUACCGCAUAAGAGUAGAUGUUGCAUGACAUUUACUUAAAAGGUGCAGUUGCAUCACUACCAGAUGGACCUGCGUUGUAUUAGCUAGUUGGUGGGGUAACGGCUCACCAAGGCGACGAUACAUAGCCGACCUGAGAGGGUGAUCGGCCACACUGGGACUGAGACACGGCCCAGACUCCUACG